RNAcentral lists this ribosomal RNA (292 nucleotides) under uncultured bacterium. RNAcentral's name for it is "partial 16S ribosomal RNA". It matches the Rfam family "Bacterial small subunit ribosomal RNA", at positions 505 to 796 of the family's 1533-position model. The record is from RNAcentral.
GUGUCAGCCGCCGCGGUAAUACGGAGGGUGCGAGCGUUGUCCGGAAUCACUGGGCGUAAAGGGCGCGUAGGCGGCGCGGUAAGCGUGCGGUGAAAGCCCGGGGCUCAACCCCGGGUCGGCCGUGCGGACUGCCGGGCUCGAGCACUGUAGAGGCGGGUGGAACUCCGGGUGUAGCGGUGGAAUGCGUAGAGAUCCGGAAGAACACCGGUGGCGAAGGCGGCCCGCUGGGCAGUGGCUGACGCUGAGGCGCGACAGCGUGGGGAGCAAACAGGAUUAGAUACCCUGGUAGUCC